UAAAAUGUAAAGGUAUUAUUACCAAUUUUCAGUUUUUGACAGAAGUACAAUGGUAACAAGAAGCAAAACGGAGAAAAUAAAACAAAAACUAAACACCCACACGAUCUUGACAACACAGUGACAAGCACAACAAACAGAAGCUGCUAUUGGAGGUCUCAGCUAAUCCGCACAACCGCUUGCCACAAAAAGUAGAGCCACAGUUAAUUCGAGAGUCGGAACCCGGUAAUUUUGGCCCUCCCCGAUGAUCCGCUCUUUAUGAUCGGCUCGACCAAUAACAGUUCGAGGUAGACUUCCUAAGUAUCCACCAAACAGAAACAGACACCCACUCAAGAGGCCUAGAACGCCUGCAUCCACAAGAUCGAGCAAUUAUUCGGACGCAUACGGCUCCAAGGAGCGAAGCGCCAAAGACCUGCACAAAAAAUGGGGGUGAGAAGCAGCCGCAGCACCACAGUUAGCCCUCCGGGCCAUCACACGAGUCGGAAGAGACAGCCGCAGCACCACAGUUAGCCCUCCGGGCCAUCACACGAGCCGGAAGAGCACAUCCACAAGAACGCAGAGCGCAGGCGCGCUUAGCUCAAGUGCUGGGAUGACGGGCUCAAGCAUAUGGAAGCACGAGACGCUACUUAACCGAAUGACCCAGCGGAUAAGAGAGUCUCGACAUGGACAGUCUCUGAGAACCAGAGAAACUGACCGACAAGAACGGAUAACAGAUCAGAUCGAAGAAUAAACAGCCGUAAAGAACACCGGAGGAGACUCGAUUAGUUUCUUCGCCAAUGAAACUGGCACGAGCACUAAGGUGGUCCGCCGUGACCAGAGGGAGACAAGCAAGGAGCCCACGAAGUGGUUCCGAACCCAAGCCAUAGACGACUUAUCGUCGGAGGCCUAAACGUCGAGCCACACGCCAAACCGAAGACUGCCGGAUACGCCACACGACGAAGCCAGAUAGUCCUACAAACACGUCGAUGAGGAUGAACCAGACCGCACCUACUGAGCACUAGACAGCCUGAACCGCCCUACGACGAGACACCACGCGUAGGGAAGACUCACACGCCGCUGAACAUCUCCGCCAGGAUAACGGGAAGACAAAAAAGACAGGUAGACGGACAGAUCCCGAGCGUAGAAACCACCGUUCCAGAGCACGCGCCACGAAACGCUGAGAUUUGUUGUAGAUCUAAAGAAUGAAAAUCGACCACCAACAGAUCGCAACCCCAAAAAACCAACCCUAACCACCAACCACGACUACACCUGCCUCGCCUCAUCACCAGAAACUCAAGACCGCCGUCGGCUUCAGGCUAGGUUCCUCCACCGACGAGAAUCUCGAGACACCAGGGACAAACGCAUAUCGGAGGGAGUCAGAGGAGAGUAGCAGGGCAAAGGAGAAAAACGAGAGAUAGAGAGGGAAGGAGCCCUCCGGUAACGCUGCAAGGACCAGCCGCCCCGGAGGCAAACGUAGAUUUAGGUUUUUUUUUUUUUUUUUUUGAGAGAGGAGAGAGAGCGUGUGUUGUUUAUUUUCCAGUUUUUUAUGUCACAUAUUAUCUUUGCUUCUACCUAUUUUGAUGACCAUUUACUAUUAUGGCUUAUGAAUAUUUGUUGCUUUUGCUUUUAUAAAACUUAUGAUAUUAUCUAGGAAUUUAUCGAAAGAGAGUCUCGCCAAUCUUAUGACUCUGCUUCCUGCUUUGCAAGUGUAACUCAUCCCAAAACGAUAUGUAGCAAACCU
RNAcentral lists this long non-coding RNA (1717 nucleotides) under Brassica napus (rape). Its description in RNAcentral is "long non-coding RNA (BNAP_LNC006741)". The record is from RNAcentral. Lineage: Eukaryota; Viridiplantae; Streptophyta; Magnoliopsida; Brassicales; Brassicaceae.